This 1140-nucleotide long non-coding RNA is filed under the name Anas platyrhynchos platyrhynchos (common mallard). Its description in RNAcentral is "lncRNA (ENSAPLG00000024399.1)". Lineage: Eukaryota; Metazoa; Chordata; Aves; Anseriformes; Anatidae. The record is from RNAcentral.
AUGGAGGCUGGGGCGGGCGGGGGAGGGGAGCGCAGAGUUAAAGGGGCCGCGCCGCCGGGGGAGGGAGGGAGGGAGAGGAGGGGAGAGGAGGGAGGAGGCACCGGGAGGGAAGGAGGGAGGAAAGAGGGAGGGCAGGGGCACGGCGGCGGCGGGGAGAGGGAGGGGAAGGGGAAGGACGGCAGGGAGGGAGGGAGGGGAGAGGCCUGCGGGAGGAUGGAGGGGGAGGGCGGAGCGCGGGGCACACACACAGAGACACCACACACACACACAGACAAACACACACUCACAGCCCGCCUUACACACACACGGCCCACCUCACACAUGCACACACACAUCUAUACACACACACAGCCCGCCCGGCCUCACACAGCCCGCCUCAGGCGGGCACACGCACACCCAGCCCGCCUCACACGCACACAGACCACCUGUGUGCACACCCGGCCCUCACACGGACACAUACACUACUUGUGUGCACACCCAGCCCUCACACACACACAUAUAUAUAACCUGUGUGCACGCUCAGCCCUCACACACAUACACACAACCUGUACGCACACCCAGCCCUCCUCACACACACGUAUAGGACCUGAGCUCACACCCAGCCCUCACACACACAAAACAUCUGUGUGCACACCCAGCCCUCACAUGGGCACACGUAUACCACUUGUGAGCACAGCCAGUCCCCUUCACACGCACAUAUAUCACCUGUGUGCACACCCAGCUCUCACACACACACACACACUGCCUGUGCUCACACCCAGCCCUCACACGCACACAUAUACCAUCUGUGUGCACACCCACCCCUCACACACACAUAUAUCACUUGUGCUUACACCCAGCCCUCUUCACACUCACAUGUAUCACCUGUGCUCACACAGCCCUCACACACACACACACCGCCUGUGCUCACACACAAUCCUCACCCACACACCCACCACCAGUGCUCACACCCAGCCAAAACCACCAGGCCUUUCGCUCCCCGUGAGGGUGACGAGGCUGACGUCCCACAUGCCAGGCCCAGGCCAGGCAGCGAGCCCCGACCCGGCGCUGUGGAAGCGCCUGGUGCUGAGCACGGUCCCAGCCCCAGGCCCUACCGUGCUCAGGCAGGGCCCACAGGUGGCACGGUCAUAUUCAACAUAG